GAUGAACGCUGGCGGCGUGCCUAAUACAUGCAAGUCGUGCGAACAGACGAGGAGCUUGCUCCUCUGACGUUAGCGGCGGACGGGUGAGUAACACGUGGAUAACCUACCUAUAAGACUGGGAUAACUUCGGGAAACCGGAGCUAAUACCGGAUAAUAUAUUGAACCGCAUGGUUCAAUAGUGAAAGACGGUUUUGCUGUCACUUAUAGAUGGAUCCGCGCCGCAUUAGCUAGUUGGUAAGGUAACGGCUUACCAAGGCAACGAUGCGUAGCCGACCUGAGAGGGUGAUCGGCCACACUGGAACUGAGACACGGUCCAGACUCCUACGGGAGGCAGCAGUAGGGAAUCUUCCGCGAUGGGCGAAAGCCUGACGGAGCAACGCCGCGUGAGUGAUGAAGGUCUUCGGAUCGUAAAACUCUGUUAUUAGGGAAGAACAAAUGUGUAAGUAACUAUGCACGUCUUGACGGUACCUAAUCAGAAAGCCACGGCUAACUACGUG
Molecule: ribosomal RNA, 497 nt
Filed under: uncultured bacterium
Lineage: Bacteria
Description: partial 16S ribosomal RNA
Rfam family: Bacterial small subunit ribosomal RNA
Source: RNAcentral